UGCAGGAGAAAUCCAGUUUCAAAAUAAUGUUUGUAAGAGGAACACAAGUUACACUAAAGGGGAGAUUUUGUGAUCUUGUUAAAGACCAGAUUCUGGAACUCAGGGAAAUAAAGAUAAUUUCUACUAACCAUAAACUCUGAAAGAGUUUAUGAUUAAGAAUUCAAUUAUAAAUCAUGAACAUAAGGUUAAUUAACCUAAAGUUUUCAUGGCAGUGGAUACUUGAGAGUUUGAUAUGAUCCUGCUGUCAGUCCAAAGUCAAGAAGUGUACCUGGGCAGGAUUCUUUAGAAUCUUUUUUUAGAUCUCUAAUAAAUUUGGAGAGAAAGAGAGCCAUGCUCUUCUCUUUCCAGAGUGGACACAUUCUCUCUCUUUAAAGUGUCACCUUUUUCUUCCUUCACAUCCCUUCUAAUAAACUCAUUGUGUCUGCUUUUUUCUCAUGUGAAAUGCUCACAAAGAGAAAGCAAAAUCUAUAAACUGUCAUCCAGCUCUUGGAGGAAAAAUUAGAAAUAUUGCAUCCAUUUGAAAUAUAGCAUAAAAUAGCUGAUAAGGCAAAGAGGGAAUGCUGGCAUUAAGAUUGUGAACAGAGCUGAGUGCAAUGCUGCACUCCUGUAAUCCCAGGGUCCUGGAAGGCUGAAGCAGAAGGACCAUGAGUUCCAUGCCAGCUUCAGCAAGGGAGAAGUGCUAAGCAAAUCAGUGAAACCUCUUUCUUUAAAUAAAAUACAAAAUACUGCUGGGGAUUUGGCUCAGGGGUCGAGUGAGCCAAUAAGUUCUAGAAUGACUUGUUAUCCUGUGACAAUUAAUUGACCCACUAUAGGCUGGAACUCAAGAUUCAAUCACAAGUUCCACAGAAGUCAUAUGGAAAAGAGCUGGUGUAUUAUAGAUAGUGUAGUUAAGUUGUUCCUGCACCCUCUGUCUGAUAGGGUCACAGCAUGGGGGAUGCUGUGGCAGAGCUACACCAUUUGGAAAAUGAAACUAUGGGGAAGGUUAAAUGUAUUGUUUAUGACACUCUUGAUAUGGAUAAUAGGGUAUACAUCAAUCAAUAAUGAAAGUACAUGUUGCCGGAAAUGACAGGAAAAUUCCCCAAAUGAGACUAAAGAUGCAAUUAAGACAUGCCUGGAGAUGUGUUUUAAUGUCUCUCAGGAUACAAACAAUAGUGUUAUUCCUCAAACAUUUAUGAAGAAAAUAUGACAGAUCUCAAGGUUCUUGAGAAAAACUUAACAAUUUGCACUAAGCCCCACAUUCUAAAUCUACAAUCUGUGCAACAUACAUUUCCCCCCACUAUCAGGCCCUCCUUUGCCUUACACAGGAAUUCAUGAUAAAAAUGGGAAACACAUUGUUAAUAUUAAUGGUAAAUGGGUUGUGUUGAAGAGCCUGCUCUUUUGUUAAAGAUUACAAAGACAUAAGAAUAGUUGUAUUUUGAAAAAGUAUCAAGAAAACUAUUAAAGGAAGCAGUUAAAUAGGUCACAUGAAAAAGAAAAUUACCUUUGAAGUUAAAAAUAGAAUAAUAUAAAAUUAAUAUACAUACAUUUUAGAAGCACUUCAGAAAAGUGCUUUUAAGUAAUAGGCUAUAACUACUUUAAGUGUUUUCUUGGGACUUAAGAAGUAAGAAGGCUUAACAAUAAUCAUAGGUAUGCUUUAAAGUUAAAGGUUAAUGAUAUAAUUAUACGUAUGCUUUAAGGUUAAAAGUUAAUAAUAGGUCCAGAUACAUGUAGUCGAGUUGUGUGGUCCAGCACUUAUUGAUUGAGGUGAAAAUGUAAAAGCUUAAUCGUGACUGGCAAAGGUUAUAGGAAAAUAUUUUAAACAAUGUACUCAAUAUCUUAGGUAAUUAAUAUAUGUCUGCAAAUAUUGUAACUCUUAAAAA
This 1859-nucleotide long non-coding RNA is filed under the name Marmota monax (woodchuck). The record is from RNAcentral. Lineage: Eukaryota; Metazoa; Chordata; Mammalia; Rodentia; Sciuridae.